GACCCUGAUUUACCUCAGGAGUUUGAAAGCUCUUCAUGAGAAGAUUCAUGGAAACAAUGUCAAGAAGCUUCUACUUCCAAUUCAUAUGUCAUCUGCCCAAAAGUUGUGAUUCCUAUACUCAACUUGGACCUAAAUCAAAAUGGGAAAUAAGAUAAAAGAAGCAGAAAUGCCAGUAGUCCAUGCUGGGAAUUUUGUCUUAGAGCUAGUCUAUUACUAAUCUAGAGAGUCAUCUAUCUAGGCUACCACAUUUUCAUAAAGAUUGUAAUAGGCAGUCUUAAAGUUUGUCUCUUACUUGAAGUACACCAAGGGCCAUCGCUGAGUGAAAUACAAACAAUAUGUUGGAAUUAGAAAAUGACUUCAGGUAAAUUAAAAGUAAACAAAAGGCAAAUUAUUAAAAACAUUCUUUUCUAUCGCUUUUUGUAGAAAACAUUUAGUUGUAUUGGGAAAUUUCUAUUUCGAAGUUUAUUAAAACUAACUUUUGUGGGGUUUUUUUAGCAGAGAUUAGAAAAGGUUUUCAGAGAAGGGAAAAUGCCAUGAGUGAAUAGACUUUUAGGCAAUAGCGCUGAUUAAAUAAAUGCCGAUGUUUGGCAAUAGGGCUGUGGA
This 603-nucleotide small RNA is filed under the name Pan troglodytes (chimpanzee). RNAcentral describes it as "processed transcript". Lineage: Eukaryota; Metazoa; Chordata; Mammalia; Primates; Hominidae. The record is from RNAcentral.